Non-coding RNA from Oryctolagus cuniculus (rabbit), 4749 nucleotides. NCBI's taxonomy places the organism in Eukaryota, Metazoa, Chordata, Mammalia, Lagomorpha, Leporidae. The record is from RefSeq and is a predicted model, not a curated record.
CCUGCCACCCGCAACCCUCCCAUCUGCUCCCUCUCCCAUUCCAUUCAAGAUGCAUUUUCAAUUAUCUUUAUAUAUGGAAGAUUGAUUUAGUAUAUAUUAAGCAAAGAUUUCAUCAGUUUGCAUCCACACAGAACAUAAAGUGUAAAGUACUGUUUGAGUACUAGUUAUAGCAUUAAUUCACAUUGGACAACACAUUAAGGACAGAGAUCCUUAAUGUAAGUAAGUAAGUAAGAGGAGGAGUAAGUACACAGUGACUCCUGUUGUUGACUUAACAAUUUGACACUCUUGUUUGUGGCGUCAGUAAUCUCCCUAGGCUCUAGUGAUGAGUUUCCAAGGCUAUGGAAGCCUUUUUUUUUUUUUUUGACAGGCAGAGUGGACAGUGAGAGAGAGAGACAGGGAGAAAGGUCUUCCUUUGCCGUUGGUUCACCCUCCAAUGGCCACCGAGCCAGCGCGCUGCGGCCGGCGCACCGUGCUGAUCCGAUGGCAGGAGCCAGGAGCCAGGUGCUUUUCCUGGUCUCCCAUGGGGUGCAGGGCCCAAGCACCUGGGCCAUCCUCCACUGCACUCCCUGGCCACAGCAGAGAGCUGGCCUGGAAGAGGGGCAACCGGGACAGAAUCCGGCGCCCUGACUGGGACUAGAACCCGGUGUGCCGGCGCCGCUAGGCGGAGGAUUAGCCUAGUGAGCCGCGGCGCCGGCCUUGGAAGCCUUUUGAGUUCACUGACUUCAAUCUUAUUUAGACAAGGUCAUAGUCAAAGUGGAAGUUCUCUCCCCUUCAGAGAAAGGUACCUCCUUCAUUGAAAAACUGAGGAAAUCUCCAACUAAAUGCAAACUGUAAAAAUAGAAAAGUUGAAACAAGGAAAAUUAUAAUCAAAGAUGGGUUAAAAAUGUCAAAGAUCAGAUUUCAAAAUUCAAAGAUAAAAAUUUCUUGUGAGUCUUUUCCUAUCAGAAAACCUGGUUGUUUUGACUUUAACAUUUAACAUUAACAAAUUCUAACUUCAUAACAAUAUGCCUUUGACAUUAAUACUUAAUUUAUAGAAACUCAUAUGGCCAAUUCCAUGGUAACAUCAGCCAAUGUUAUUUCACACAGGAUCCAUCUUUCACAAAACUAGAAUAUUUUAUAUUUCUCUCAGCUGAUUGUCCUGUUCUGUUCCUUUUUCCUUGCCAACACCAUUUUACUUUAGGACAAAUAUUACUCACUUUUCCCCUUAAUCAAAACACAUCAUUUAUAUUCCAUAACUUCAUGCAUGUCUGUCUAUGACAAAGAGAUUUUUAAACUUUUCUCUUAAUAUUGAGUGUCAUAUAUUUGUUAGAAUUAUUCCUUAAUCUUAGUUACUCAAUAUCUAGUUAAAGCUUAGUAAACAAUGUUAAAUUGACAUAUUUUAAUAAUUUAUGAUAGCAGCUACUUAUCAGCCCAGUGCUUUUUAUGGAAUUUAAGAUGUCAAAUUUACAUUUAGAAAUAUUUUCCUUCUUCAUAGUUACCUAACUAAGUUUUAACAAUUAUACUUAGAUUUAAGAAACCAAACUAUUAGACAAGCAUGGUUGGGCCAUUUUCUUGACAAAAAGAACUCUAAAAACUGAAUUUUACUUCAUAUAUAUGAAGCAGUGAACACUGUACCAUACAUGUUUGGUUUUAAGUCAAAAUUACACCUUUAUUAUUUUAAAUGUCUACCAAAAAUAAGUAACAUUUGCUUGACUAGCAGACCUAGGCACAGACAUAUGUUAAUAACUCUGAAAACAUUUUUAUUUUGUUUUUACAAAAAAAUUAUUUGAAAGGCAGAGUUAUGCGGUGGUGUGAAAGAAAAGAGUACAAGUAUGGGCCAGGGCUGGGCCACACAAAAGCUAGUAGCUGGAAAAUCUUGGUCUCCCACUUGGUUGGCACCCAACUAGUUGGGACAUACCCAUUGCCUUCUCAGGCCCAUUAGCAGGAACCCAAAUCAGUAGUACAGAGUUGCUGGGAAUUCAUCUGGCACUCAAUUAUGGCUGCAGACAUUGCAAGUGAUGGCUUUAUCCAUCACACUAUGCCUACUCCUUUACCAACAAAUUUCAGACAACCUAGUCUACCACAGAUUUAUUUAAGGCAUGGGCCCCAAGAGUACUUAGAUUAGUUUCUUUAUGUGAGUACACAUUUGUCCAUGUGCCAAAUUAUCAGAAAUAGUAAGGGUAUUUUACAUUACAGACACAACUAGUACCAUGUACAAAUGUGUAACACACACACAGUUCUCACCCUACAAAAUCACAUACCCAACAUGAACAAUCACUUACAACGAAUCAAUUGAUGUGGCCCAUGGGACACAUUCCCCUCCUCUGCUAUAGAUGGGUUCCUCUAGGUCCUGGUGCAGCUUCUCAAUUUCACCAAGAUGCUCUUCCCACAGGUCAGCCCCUGCAACCAUCCCACCAGGACAGAGAAAUGGGAGAGAGAAAAUGCUGGUUACUACUUUGCCAGAAGAAUGGACUUUGCCAGCAGCCCCUCAGCAAGAUCACUAUCCUCCUGCCAAUCCCUUUGUCUCCUCAUACAGGCACCCAGAGGACUUUGGUUAACUUUGGCCCAAGAGUAAAUGAGCUUUCAAAACCAGAGAGCCUCCUACUAAGAAAAUCCCAUGGACCUCCUCCCACACAGUUGUCUGCUAUGUGAGAGUUCCAUGUUUUAGAAAAAUAACAGAAAGAUUCAAGAUAGGACCUACCUAGCAUCUGGAAAGCUAUGGCCACCUUCUGUAUGUGACUUUCAGGAUGACAGAGACAGCCUCACUUGACCUGUCUUCUAAUAUUACCUUUCAUUUUACUGAUACACAACUUAACAUCUUUAGAAAGGACAAAUCCUUUUGUAAAACCCUUAUAGAGAAGCUUAAUGUAAAAGUACAUUAUCUUCAACACAUCCUACAUGGUUAGUUGCUGAUAAUGGAUGCAUCAGACAGCCAGCAUUAGUCCAUGGGUCUGCAGGUGGGUUACAGGAGGAAGGAGAACCUCCAAGGAAAGAAAAGGAUUCAGAAAAACAGGAGGAAGGCUAAUGAAAGGUUACAUUACCCGCACAUUUCUUUUCUGAAAACUACAAUUGUCUUUCUCUUGGAACUGAGCUGCAUCACAGUAUUUGCCUGCCUAGAGAUACCUGCCCACUUGAGCACUGAGGCCUCAGGCAUGGAGAAUUAAAGGAUGUACUUAGAAAGUACCAAGUGUGUGUGCAGCCCUUUCACUUCAUACCCACUCUGUGAGAAGGCACCAGAAAGGGAAUGGAAAACAGCCCGCCCAGAAAGGAAAAUAAGUCAAGUCUUUGUACAAAGAAGACAAAACUGAAGCUACACCAAAGUCAAAUUUAAGGUGGGUUUAAACCUCACUAAAAAGAAGAGAAUUGUUGUGUCAUAAUUUUGCUUAAAUAAAUGGAUAGACAUAAUGGAUUUCUCCUAUUAUUUUUUCACACUUGAUGUUAUAGUUAGUUCUAAGUCCAUUUCUAAGUAAUUUAGCCUUUAUUUGUUAAGUAUAAAUUAACUAUUCAGUUGAGAUGAUAAAGCAGAUUUUGUGGAAUAUAGUAUUAUAUGCCAGAAACUUAUAUCUAAAAUGACUAUUAUAGGCUAUUUCUGAAGGAAAGUCAGAUUUACACCUUGUGGUGCAAUCCCCCUAUAAAAGCAAUAUACAUAGGGGAGCUCAUAUCAAGCUAUUACUUUAGCCCUGACAGUAUAAACCCAUAUUAUCACUCAUGAAACUUGUGACCAUUUGUUUCAAUGAUAGCAAAAUCACACCAAAUAAAAAGCAUUACUUUUUUGAAAUUUUAUAGAAGUUACACAAAUUUCAUGCAUUUCUUAUGUACAGAUUUAGGAACAUAGUGAUACAUCCCAUGCAAACCUCCUAAUACCCAAGACCAACCCUUCUUCUUCCUCCCUCUUCCAUCCCCAUUCUUAAUUUUUACAAACAUCUACUUUCAGUUUACUUAGUUAUCAUAAGUUGUAGCCUUCAUUAAGUAGAAAUUAAUGAUAAUCAGUUUAAUUUCUAAUAAGUUUGUAUCUUUUAACUGCACAGUUGAGGUCAUUUACAUUCAAGGUGAGUGAUGAUAAAUAAUGACUUGCCCUUCCAUUUUUUGAUAAAUAUUCCUAUUGUUAAAUUUGGAUUUCUUUUGUACUUCUACUAGGGGAUUUUCUGCCAUCUCAUUCUUUCACAAUUAUGGAUAUCAUUCUGUGUUUCUGUGUGUAGCAUUUCCUGAAGCAUCUUUUGAAAGGCUAGAUGAGUGGCAACAACUUCUUUCAAUUUCUGUUUGGUGUAGAGAAUCUUUAUUUCACCUUCAUUCAUAAGUGAGAGCUUUGCUUGGGUACAGUAUUCAGAAUUGAAAGCUUUUUUUUUUCUUUGUAGACUUGCACUAUAUUUCUCCCUUCCCUCCUAGCCUGUAGGGUUUCUGAUGAGAAGUCAGCUGUGAGUCCAGUUGGAGAUCCUCUAGAAGUAAUCUGGCAUUUCUCUCUUGAAUAUUUGAGAAUCUUUCCUUUAUGUUUUAUUGUGAAAAUUUAGACUACAAUGUGUCAUAGUGACAUUUUUUUCUGGUCAUGUCUGUUAGGGGCUCAGUGUGCUUCCUGUACUUGGACAUCCCACUCUUUCCCCAAAUUGGUGAAGUUUUUGUAAACAUUUUACUAAAUAAUCCAUCUAGUCCAUUCUCUCUUUACACACCUUCAGGAAAUCCUAAGACCUGGAUGUUGGGUCCUUUGAUAAUAUCCCAUAGGUCUCCAAAGCUAUUUUUACAUUUUCUAUUUUUAUCUUGUUAUGCUUUUAUUUU